This is a small nuclear RNA of Vulpes vulpes (red fox), 103 nucleotides long. Lineage: Eukaryota; Metazoa; Chordata; Mammalia; Carnivora; Canidae. The record is from Ensembl.
GCAUUGUAAAAAUGUUUGUUAUUAAAAAGAAUUUAUACAGAGAAGAUUAGCAUGGCCGCUGCACAAGGAUGACACACGAACUCAUGAAGUGUUCCAUAUUAAA